RNAcentral lists this ribosomal RNA (292 nucleotides) under uncultured bacterium. Its description in RNAcentral is "partial 16S ribosomal RNA". It matches the Rfam family "Bacterial small subunit ribosomal RNA", at positions 505 to 796 of the family's 1533-position model. The record is from RNAcentral.
GUGCCAGCAGCCGCGGUAAGACGGAGGGGGCAAGCGUUGUCCGGAAUCACUGGGCGUAAAGCGCACGUAGGCGGUUCCGUGCGUCGGUGCUGAAACCUCUGGGCUUAACCCAGAGACGCGUGCCGAUACGACGGGACUGGAGGCAGGCAGAGGGUGGCGGAAUUCCGGGUGUAGUGGUGAAAUGCGUAGAGAUCCGGAGGAACGCCUGAGGCGCAAGCGGCCACCUGGGCCUGACCUGACGCUGAGGUGCGAAAGCGUGGGGAGCGAACCGGAUUAGAUACCCCCGUAGUCC